UUUCGCAAUGCCCGAAAGGGUGACGAAGCGACGCCGCGUGUGGGAAGAAGGCCUUCGGGUUGUAAACCACUGUCGGGAGUUAGGAAAUGUAAGGGUGCUAAUAGUAUCCUUACUUGACUAAGGCUCCGGAGGAAGCCACGGCUAACUCUGCGCCAGCAGCCGCGGUAAUACAGAGGCGGCAAGCGUUGUUCGGAAUUAUUGGGCGUAAAGAGCACGUAGGCGGCCUUGUAAGUCAGUUGUGAAAGCCUUCUGCUUAACGGAAGAACAGCAGCUGAUACUGCAAGGCUAGAGUGCGGAAGGGGAGAGUGGAACUUCUGGUGGAGCGGUGAAAUGCGUAGAUAUCAGAAGGAACACCGGCGGCGAAGGCGACUCUCUGGUCCGUAACUGACGCUGAGUGUGCGAAAGCUAGGGGAGCAAACGGGAUUAGAUACCCCGGUAGUCCUAGCCGUAAACGAUGGGCACUAAGUAGAGGGGUUUUA
This 479-nucleotide ribosomal RNA is filed under the name uncultured anaerobic ammonium-oxidizing bacterium. RNAcentral describes it as "bacterial SSU rRNA". It matches the Rfam family "Bacterial small subunit ribosomal RNA", at positions 364 to 833 of the family's 1533-position model. The record is from RNAcentral.